AACAAAUCGAAUUGGUCAAAGGACAUAAUUCUGUUAAGGACAAUCAAAUGGCUCAGUCGGCAGAAGAUGGAAUAAUGUUAAAGGAAGCAAUAAUAUGUCAAACAAAACAAACAACCGGUGAGAAAGAAAAGUACCACAAGCAAAAGCAGUGACUGAGAUAAUAAUUGAGCAACAAAAGCAACAGUAAUGAAUUUAAGCAGCAGAAAUAAUGAAUUUAAUUGUUGCAAAAUUAUGUCGCAAGCUUAAGGCAGAUAUUAAACGCCUAAAAUCAUAUUUUUAAUCAAGUCGACAGGCUGAACAAGAACUACGAUCUCAAAACACUUUAUUAAAUGGUGAACAACAAGCAUAAGAUUAUACAGGUUAGUCGCGGCUCGACAACAGGACAAACAGACAAUGUCGUUUAGCUUCCGAAAGAAGAGCUCGACAUACUGCUGAGGAAGCCCGCUCUCUCUCUCUCUCUCUCUCUCAUUCGACAAGAGUGUACAGAUGCAUGUAAGUUCCGUAGAGCCUACAUAGAGUUGGAUCUCAAAAGCUUUUUCUUUUCAAUUUCUUGUUUACGAGAAAGAAACUGCUUGUUAUACAGAAAAUCAUAGUGAAUCAGAAAUCAUAUUUGGGACACUUAAUAUGCUACAAAACAAAAAUACUCAUUGGGAAAAAAGUUUGACUGCGGAUACUCAUAUCAAACUGGAUCUGUUUUCGGCUCUUGGUGAAGCUAAACGCCUAAUCCAAUCGAAAUUAAAGGAGAUCGAUGUUUUAAAGACUAGAAUAUCACAAGACUUAGCUAUAAGCCUGCAAGACACAUUUGGUCUUGCAGCUCCAUCAUGUUCUACGUCAAAGCCAUUCUUAUCUGUACGCAUAAAGUGUGAAUAAAAAUGAAAUUCAUUAAAAUAGAAUUGCUCGGGAUACAUAUACUUCCAUGUGACAUAAUGAGGAUUGUAGUUGUACUAUGAAGUAAAACCAUACCAAGACAAGAUUAAGAAAUUCACUUUUAUACAAUUCACAUUUAAACAAUGU
RNAcentral lists this long non-coding RNA (1014 nucleotides) under Nasonia vitripennis (jewel wasp). Its description in RNAcentral is "uncharacterized LOC116416539, transcript variant X2". Lineage: Eukaryota; Metazoa; Arthropoda; Insecta; Hymenoptera; Pteromalidae. The record is from RNAcentral.